This 25258-nucleotide long non-coding RNA is filed under the name Theobroma cacao (cacao). RNAcentral describes it as "long non-coding RNA (TCAC_LNC003606)". The record is from RNAcentral. Lineage: Eukaryota; Viridiplantae; Streptophyta; Magnoliopsida; Malvales; Malvaceae.
AGUAGAAAGAGGGAAAUAUUGGUUUUGUACUUGUGAGAGGCUACAUGUUCCUUGGAUUGAAGUGAGAUGGUAAGUAGAUCUUCUACUUCCAUAAUCUUCAUUUUUCUACUCUAUUUCCAUCACCACACCUGACUGCUUUGUUUUUUUUCUCCUUCAAUUUUGGAUUGCCAAUUAAUUAAUUUUUUUAUUAAUUAAUUUGUAGAAGAAAUAACAGGGAACUGGUUUGUUUAAAAGUGAUUGAUUUAUAUACCCUUAUCAAUUUAUUAAUUUAUGAAAUUAGAAAAUUAUUACUUAUUUUUUAUUAUCAAUUAAGUUAUUUAGUAGGAUUUGUAACAUUGAAAAUGUGAAAUUGCAAUUAGUAAUAGGAAAUAUUGAUGGCUGAUACAUAGUUGAAAUGUAUGAAUGUGUAACAUGAAGCUGGUUAUUUUCUAAUUGGAUAUUUGCUGGGGGUUCUUCCAAAAGGUUAUAGAAUACCAUGCAUAGAGGAGUUGCAAGAUGAUAGAUUUGUUGCUGGAAGUGUAGACGAGUCUCUUCACGUGAGUAAGAAUAUUGUUGUCAUUACUACGCUUCAUUAGUUUGAAUUGCCUUACUGACCGAGAAAAGGAAAUAGUUUGAUGCUAAUUUUAUGUUAUGAUGUUAAUGCUAACUUGCUAAGACAUCUUAUAAGUUAUGUAUAUCUGCACCUUGCAGGCCAGUGCUCGUAGCAUUUCAAACAAGGUGAAAAGCUCUCUUUUUCUCCAGUUAGCUUCCACUAUUCUGCAACUCUUGGGUUCUACCACUGUAAUUGUUUGAGGGCCCUUCUUUGGUCUUGAUGGCUAGAUGCAUGCUGCACCCGCAUCAUUAAGUUCCUAGGUUCGAGGGCUAACAGAAGAAUUGACUGAAAGCUGGUCCGAAAAGCACAAUAGAAAUCAGAUAAUAGAUAUGACUUGUAGGAUAGCAAGACAUGAAGCAACUUCAGCUGGUACUAACAAAAACUAUUAACUAUAAUUUGAUAGUCUAACAGGAAUAAUUUGUUCAUCUGUUCUUUUGUAAUGCUUUUUCUUUUAGUAUCAUAGGUAGGUGAUGACUGAGGAAAAGAAAAAUUAUUAAAGAAUGAAAUGGUCUCCAAGUCUUUAUGGUAUUAAGUGCAUGGAAUUUGGUUUAUCUGCAGUACUUCCACUUCCAAAAUAUCACUGAAGGUGAGGGAAGAAAUGUGGGAAGAGAUGAAUCACAAGCAUGCUAAUAUUGGCAUUUCAUAGAACUCAAGCUUUGUUCCAAAGUCAGGGCCUCAUAGGCACAGUCAAACAGAGUGCAUUCUACAAACCUGAGACACGCACGCAUACCAAGUGCAAUGGUCUUAUUAAUCAUAUGAAGAGCAUCACUCGCAUCAUAUUUCUGCCUGAUACUAUGCUUUGCAGACUCUGAACAACUUUUUAUGCGUGGUCUUAGGAAGCCUAGUCGCUGAGCAUCUACAAUUUGGAUGCAUAGAGGGACUCCAUGAUGAUGUUGACAAGGUACAUUCUUCUGCUCAAAUGAUGUUGCCAUGAGGUAUUUUCAGAUUACUAACUGCUAGUGCUUCCCAUUAAUGGAAGCAGCUGGAUAAAGUACUUAGCUGGUUGGGUUACACUGCGAUCAAGUUAGAUGGGCUGCAUCGAAUACUAUUACAAUAGAAGAUGCUGAUGUUGGGAGAGAAAUCGAGCUGGUUCGCAAGCUCUAUCAGAGCAUCCCUCAAUCUGCUGUCCUUUGUGAGAGUGGCCAGAACAGUUGUAGAGUGGUUUCCACAAGCAAAAAUUUCUUCAAUUUAUUGCCCAUGAUGUAACUAGCAUUAUAAUUAAGCGUUGUCUUCUACUUCAUGUUCAAAUUGCAUGUAAGUUGGCUAUGAUUAGAACUUUGUAGUUCAACUUGAACUCUUAGAUAGUUCUGUUUUUACAUUUAGCAGGAUCCAAUGAGCAAUACAUGAAGAUUGUACAGUCUACAACAUCAUCUUGGUCCGUUCUUGCUCAUCCAGGAAAGGAAAUUCAGACAAAAACCAUUGUUUCUGAUGAUUUUUUGUACCACAGAAACUUGCAAACAGACCAAGGCAGAUUAAACUCCCAAAACAAUGAGAGAAAGAACAGGAAAAAAGAAUCAUGCAAAUUCAAUAUAAUUAACUUGAUACAUUACUGCUUUGCUCAAAAAGAUACCAUAAAAGAGUUCAGAACCCCAAAAUCAAAGAACCCUAAAACUAAACCAUCCUAUAUUAUACAGCUGGUCAAAAAAAAAAAAAACCCAAAAACAAAACAAAGAAGAAAAAGCGGACUAAAACUCCUGAGAAGCAGAUCCAAUAUCACCCUUGCCCUUUCCCAUUUUCUUUGGAAGAAGGGUUUGGUGAAUGUUGGGCAAAACACCUCCAUUUGCAAUGGUAACCGAACCCAAAAGCUUGCUUCGCUUCUCAUCAUUCCUCACUGCUAGUUAGAUGUGUCUUGGAACAAUUCGAUUCUUCUUGUUGUCUCUCGCUGCGUUGCCAGGAAGCUCUACUAACUCACAAGCUAAAAGCUUGUUGCAAGUCACAAGAAUGACCAUAACUGAUUGUGAGAUGAUAAAGGAAACCAUAGCCUGUGAGUGUGAUGAAGUGAAAAGAGGCAUUGUUUUUACCCAACUGAAGUAUUUGCAACUAAGCGGUCUACCAACUCUGGCUAGCUUUUGCUUAGGAGAUCAUAACUUUGAAUUCCCUGCCCUAGGGAAAAUGAUUGUGAGAGAAUGCCCAAAAAUGAAGAUUUUUUGUCAAGGAUAUUUAAGCACACCACAACUGCAAAAAGUCAUAUGGACAAAAGAUGAACAUGAAGAAAAUGGGUGGUGGGAAGGUGACCUUAAAACUACUAUAACACGGAUGUUUGAAGAAAAGGUAAGCAUCGAUUUAAAAGAUUUUCUUAUGUUGCUUUGUUUUCUUAUUUUGAUAUUUCAAUUAGCUUUUCCUUGUUACCCCAUACUUAUUAAAAGGUUGCUCGAAUGAGAAAACCAUACUAAUACAUAAAGUAGAGCUGUUGCAGAAUUAGUUCAUUAAUUUAGCAUAGAGCUUCUAAUUAUUAAUAAAGAAAUUUACUAUAAAAUUAUCGUUUCGGUCUCUUCUAUAGCGUAUCCAAUUUCAGAAAUUCUUAAUUUUUAUAAUUUCAAAAUAUCGAAAAUUCUAAAGAUCAUUGAGUUUAUUCUUUAAUCUGCUCAAAUUGGAAGAAGGAAAUAUUGUUUUUGUACUUGCGAGACACUACAUGUUCCUUGGGUUGAAGUGAGAUGGUAAGUUGAUCUUCUACUUCCAUAGUCUUCAUUUUUCUACUUUAUUUCCUUCGCCGUGGCUUAGUUGCUUUGUUUUUUUUUUUCUUGAUUUUCGAAUUGCCAAUUAAAAGCAAGAUAAGAAUUUGUCUAUUAAUCGUUUGCACCGAUGACAGACAAAAGAAUGAACUGCAUAGAUCGAGUGCACUUUGACUCUCCGGUAGACGUAAUCCGACCUCCACCCAAUUUCGAUCUCUCGAAACAGCGUCACGAAGCUCUACAAAGGGUUGACAAAGAGCUCUCGAAGCGCAAUUUCAGAACUAAAAGAAAGUUGAAGUUCAAUUAAUCUAAUGUGAGAUGUUAGAAGUUGUUUUUAUUUUUAUUUUUUGCAUAAAUAAAGAAAGGAAAAAAAGUAGAGGAAUGGAACAAAUAAUAUGGACAAAAUAGAAUAUAACAUAGGAAAGAAAAGAAAAAGAAGAAAAAAGAGAAAAUUAAAAGCUAAAAAAAUCAACAGAUAAUUAAUAGUAUUAUCAUAUAAUUCUACUCAUAUAAAUUUGUAUAAUUAACUUAACAAAGAUAUAAACCAUUUAAUGUAAAGAAUCCUUGACUCUAUUCCGAAUAAUAAAAGAAGUAAUUGGGAUGUUAUAUUUAAUAAACUCAAAAGUUUAAGAUUAUACAGAUAAAUUUAACCAACCAAUUAUAAUUCAAAGAUGGAGGUUUGAUUACCUUCCCGAAUAUAUAAAAAUUGAAGACUUGAAGCAGUGUGCUAUAGCAGGAUUCUAAAGGCAAGACAAAGAAAAAGUCACAUAUUCUUAAUGAACAAAAUCAGUCACUUUACUUGUGCAAAUAAUCAAGCUCUGAUUCUACAUUGUAACAUUUAAAUUAUUGUUAUUUAUUUCAGUUUCCAGUCAUUCGAUGCUUUCUUUUGCCUUGUCUUCUUUGCCACCCAAUGCAUCUUUUUCUUUUUCUCUAUACCAAAACAUCAUCAUUCUGUUUGUUUUCUUUUUGGAGAGAAGGAAAAUCAAAAGAUUAUUCAUUCCAAGAUUCCUAUAAGCAAAUGUGACAGAAGGUUAAAUUCUUCAAUUCAGUAAAGGCAUGCACAAAGACACUUGUCACGAACAAUCCAUCCAUGGAAAAAUGGUAAGCAGACAAAUAUUAGGCCUGGACCCUCCUAGUUAUGGACAGGAUGACAAAUAACAACAUUUACUUAAAAUGUUAAAAAUAUUAAACCAAGAGUUGUUGAGACAUCUAUAUUCUUUUCGUAAUUGCAGUUGCACCGAAUUUUAUGACGUUGGUCUUGGUUAGAGGCUUGAAUCUUUCUUUUUGGAUAUUUAUAUUAUUUAUUUGUUUAAUAAAAAUCUCAUGACUUGUGCCUAUUAUAUAUAAUUAUUCUAAAAAAAAAUAAAGAUAUAACAAAGACUUAAGGUGAGUCUUCCAUUAUGCUUGAAUGACCAUGAGAAGCUUCCUAGGUUUAUAAAACCCGAACACACAACGUUUCUGCUCAACUCAUUCCUAUGAUCUUACUUUAGCGUCCUUUGCUCUUCCAUUUCUCAAAACCCUUUUAUUUCCUUGCUUUGAUCGUCGAUUAUCGUUUCCCUUUCCUUUGGUUUUGGCUUGCUCCGUUGUUUCUUUCUCAUCUCUUUUUCCUCCACCUCAAAGUGUCGGCUUCUCACAUUCCUCUGCUUUCCACCCAAUAAACCAGAAACUUUUACUUUGAUUCUUAGUUGCCUCUUUGUUCAUCGCUACAGUUAAUGCAGAAGCCACCGUUUCCAAUUUCUCACCGUUCUGAUUAUUUUCCUUGCUAACAUAGUUUUUCAUAUAUUAGUUUUUGCUAUUUUCAUUUUUGGGUCUGCUCGAUCCCCUGUUUUCUCUGUUCUUUUGUCAUUUGCUUUAAUUGUCUGUUGAAUUUUUUAAAAAAAAUGGAAGCUGUUGGUACUGGAGCUGCUGCCAACGUUUCUUCAGAGAUCGCGAAAGGCACCUUCCAAGAAAUUAAACGUCAUAUCAGACAUGUAUUUAUCUACAAGAAAAAUGUCGACAAGUUCGAGGAAAAACUUCAGAUGUUGAUAGCAAAAAGAACAAGUGUGCAGCAAGAGGUUGAUGCUGCGGACAGGAACGGGGAGAAGAUAAAAGCGGACGUCCAACAUUGGAGCAACACAGUGGACAAGGUAAUCAAUGAAGAGGAGAAGAAGGUGAAGGAUCUUCAAGAGAAAGCAAAGAACAAGUGCUUCAUUGGCUUGUGUCCCAAUAUUAAGUCUCGCUACCAGCUUAGCAGGAAAGCAGAAGAAGGUGUUGCGGUUGUUGACGACCUUAUUCGACAGUGUCAAUUUAACGAAGUGGGAUACCGUGGUGUUCCAGAAGGUUUUCAACGAUAUCGUGGAAGCAGUGAAAGAUGCUGCUAUCACUAGUCAACAAAGUUGCUAGACAAGUCCAAGAGGUCAAGUUAUUUGAUUCGGUGGUUAACGUAAUUGUGACUCAAGACUCCUGACAUUCAGAAAAUUCAAGAUCAAGUUGCACAAUUAUUAAGUCUCAGACUGGAAGAUAAGAGUACGGUUGUAAGAGCACAUAGAUUGUGCGAAAGGUUGAAAAAAGGGAAGAAGGUUCUUGUUGUUUUAGAUAAUACUUGGAAGGAAUUGGAUCUCGAGAAAGUUAGAAUUCCAUUUGGGAACCAACACAAGGGAUGCAAGAUAUUGUUGACGUCAAGAGAUCAAAAUGUACUCACCAAUGAGAUGGAUGCAGAGAAAACUUUUGCAAUUGGUGAUAAAGAAGAUUGGCUCUUAUUUAGGAAGACGGCCGGGGAAAUUGUUGAAAGCACUGAGUUGCGAUCUACAGCAAUUGAGGUAGCCAAAAGAUGUGCAAAAUUACCGUUGGCCAUUGCAACAGUUGCAAGGGCAUUGAGAAAUAAAAGCUUAUAUGCUUGGAAUGAUGCUUUACGGUAACUACAGAGGCCUUCCUCAAAAACUUCGCUGGGAUAUCCGCAGCCGUAUAUUCAGCUAUAGAGUUGAGUUACAAUCACUUAGAAAGUGAAGAUCUUAAACAGGUUUUCCUGCUUUGCAGUCUACUGCAUUGUGAUAGCAUCGAUUACUUGUUGAGAUAUGCCAUUGGUUUGGGUUUAACUAAUGGUGUCAACACCGUGGAGGAAGCGCGAAAUAGGUUGUUAACAAUGGUGAGUAACUCUUGUUUUUUACUUGAUAGUAACAUCAAUGACCAGUACUUUGAUAUGCAUGAUCUUGUUUUUGAUGUCGCCAUGUCAAUCGCUUUUACAUACAAUCAAGUCUUUGCAUUAAAUGAGGAGGAUGUUCUAAAAGAUUGGCCUGAUGGGGAGACAAUGAAAAAGUGGAACAAGAUUUGUUUGAAAUAUCAUAGGGUUGGAGAGGUUCCUGACAAGUUGAAUUGUCCACAGCUUGUUCUUUUCCUUAUUUGUAGAAAGGAUCUGUCCAUGAAAAUGCCACCUAACUUCUUUAGGGAAACAACAAAUCUUAAAGUCUUAGAUUUGACUCAGAUGCAUUUCUCUUCUUUACCUUCAUCAAUUUGUCUUCUAACAAGUCUUCGUACAUUGUGCCUAGAUCAAUGUGAAUUGGGAGAUAUAGUCAUUAUUGGAGAGCUCAAGAAUUUAGAAAUUCUUAGCCUUUGAAAUCUAAUAUCAAAACUCUAGCUAAGGGAAUUGGGCAACUAGUUAAGUUGAAGUUAUUGGAUUUAAAUGAUUGUACUAAACUCAAAAUAAUUCCACCAGGUGUCUUAUCAAGUUUGUCCAAAUUAGAAGAAUUAUAUAUGGGUGACACGUUUAUUCAAUGGGAAGCAGGGGAACAGGCCAACCAACAAAGCAAUGCUAGUCAUUGUCUCGUUUGACCACUUUAGAAGUUCAAAUUCCUAAUGCUGAGGCCAUGCUAGAAGGGUUGCUCUUUAAAGAGAUGCAAAAGUUGAAAAGAUACAAAGUUUUCGUAGGAAAGGAAUGGGAAUGGUUUGGUGAGUAUGAGUAUCCAAGGACUCAGAAACUCAAGUUAAGUACAAGCAUUGAUCAUUUGGAUCAUGGAAUUAAGUUGUUAUUGAAGAACACCGAAGCUCUGUAUUUCGAUGAACUUAAAGGUGUCAAGUUUGCAAUGCAAGAGUUAAAAGAUGAAGAAAGCUUGCUGCUGUUCAAGAAUCUAUAUAUCCAAAAUAUUCAAUGAUCAAAUAUAUCAUUAUUGAUAAUGGUGUCUUUGACACUUCAAAAUCUAUCACAGCUCAUUGGCUUUUGUUCUGAAGAAAAAAGCAGCUCUACCUCCACAGCUCAACAUGAUCAGUUGCCUCUUUUCAAUGAUAAGGUAUUUAUUAACUUCCAUCUUUUACUCAUUCUAAGGCAUAGGUUAAUCUUAUUUUUAAAUUCUUUAAGAUUCUUUCUUAUGAUCGACCAAUGUUCUCGGAUGUUAAAUUUGUAUUAUUUUAGAAUCUCCUUCCUUCACUUCUUUGCUAGAUGCCCCUGAAUAUCUAUUAUGAGUAAAAACAUACAUUGAACAUCCAUUAUAAAUAUAGAAGAAGAAAGCAAAGAUAAGAUUUUGUUUCCUCAAUUAAGCUUUCUAAAGUUAUAGGAUCUUUAGCAUCUUGUUGGAUUUUUCUUAAAAGAUCAGAAUAUUGAAUUUCCAUUCUUGAAGGCAUGAUGAUAGAGAACUGCCCAGAAAUAAAAGGGCUCAUAUACAAAUCUUUGACGGAAGGGAGCCAACGUUUCUCUAGUCAAGCUUUCUUCAACGAAAAAGUAGAUUAAUUAGCAUUCUUUAUUGAACAUGUUUUUCCCAUUGCCAUGCUUUUGGCCUUGAUUAUAGGAACAAAUGCUUCUAAAAUUUUCAUUAAUUGGCAUGAAUUAAUUACAUACAGGUUGCAUUUCUUAGUUUGGAGGGACUUUCUAUUUUCAAAUUGAGAAGCAUCAAGAUGAUAUGGCAGAACCAACCCGCUACGAAUUCCUUUGGCAAACAACCAGGAAUGAAAGUUCAAGAAUGUGAUGAGUUAUUGACCAUUUUUCCAUCUAAUAUGUUGAGAGCAUUUCAAGGACUGCAAAAAUCUAUUAGUGAACAAUUGUGUUUUGCUAGAAGAAGUAUUUGAAGUCAGAAGGUCAAAUAUGGAAGAAACAUGUGCUGCCUCCACUCAACUAGGAGAGUUGUAUAUUGUGGAUCUACCAAGCCUCAAGUAUAUUUGAAAAAAUGAUCCCAAAGGAAUUUUUACAUUUGAAAAUCUGCGGGUAAUAAGUAUUUGGCGUUGUUUCAAUCUGAAGAAUGUAUUUCCAGCCUCAGUAGCCAAAGUUCUUCCAUAACUUAGAGAUCUUCGGAUAGCUGGUUGCAGAGUGAAGGAAAUUGUUUCUAAAGAGGAAGGAUUGGAAACAGUUGUCACUUUUGUGUUUGAUCAAGUAUCCUACCUUUGCCUUUUGAACCUACCAGAACUCGUAUGUCUCUACUUGGGGGUGCAUGCCACAGAGUGGCCAAUGUUAAAAAGGUUAAAUGUAUUGGACUGUGGGAACAUGAAGAUACUCGGUAUAGAACGUCUUAGCAUCCCUGAUAAGACUAAGGUCGAUGGACAACUUGAGUCCACAUUAAUCCUUCCACCGCUUUCGUUGGCUAAAAGGUAUGCGUGCACCUCCACCUCAACUCUUCUCUCAAUUAAUUAAGAUGCUAACGUGUACAUGAAAAGCUAUUUGAUUGAUCCUUGUAAUGUACAAAAAAUCAUUUCCAUCAAAUGUGAUCUUCAAGAAAAUCAUUAAAUACUACCAAAUCAAUUUUUUAUUUUUAUAUUUAUUUUUAUAGGAAAUUGCAUAUGUCAAUGACUAACUAGUUGAAUUUAUAUAAAUUAAGUGGUAUGUAAUAUUUUGAAAAAUAAAUCACUUGCAUGUUUUGAUUUCACUCACAAUUUCAGAUGAGCAUUUAGUCACUUAACUUUUCGAAAACUUUUAUUUUUAGUCAUUCAAUAUUAAAAAAUAAUGAUUUGGUCACCAACAUUUGUGAAAGUUAUUUUUUUUAACACUUAAUAAUUAGAAAAAAAAAGUCAAUCAUUAGCUUUUUUAGAGAAAAAAAAGGUCAACCAUUGGCUUCUAACAACUGAGUGAUAAACAUGAACUUUCACAAAGUUUGAUAGCCAAAUUGUGAUUAUUUAAAAUUAAAUGACCAAAAUAAAAACUUAUGAAAAAUUAAUUGAGUAAAUGUGUAAUUAAAAUUGGAGUUUGUUUGAGUCCAACCCCUACCUUUAAUCGUGAAAACAAGUACCAAGACUUGCCUACUCGCAUAUUGUGUUUGUGUGUGCACUUAUUUUCUUUUUGGCUCCAAAACUAUUUUUUCAGGACAUCCCUAAAUUAGAAAAAUUGUCGCUAAAUAUUGAUGACAUUGCAAUGAUAAGUGAGUCAAUUUUCAAGCAGCCUUUUUCGUUAAAUAAAAGUUUUUAAGGUUUACAGCAACCCUGGUAAAUCUGUUGUUUCCCCAAGUGCUUUCCUUGAAAGAUUUGACAAUCUAGAAAGCUUGUGGUGAUUUCUUAUGAAUUCAAAGAGCUGUUCUGCAAUGAAAGAGAUAAUGGUAUGGAGACAUAUGCGGGGACACUGCCGAUGAUCAGAAGCUUAAAAUUGAUUCAUCUUCAUAAUCCCAAACAAUUAUGGAGGCAGGACGUACAAGUAGACCACAUUCCCCCGAAUCUGGAAACUCUUAAAGUCUGGGAUUGUGCCAAACUGAUUAGUUUAGGAUCAUCCACAGCAUCGUUCCAAAAUCUCUUGAUGUUGGAUGUGUGGAGCUGCAAAGCAAUGAUAUGCUUAGAUACAUCUUUAGCAGUCCAAAGUCUAGCCCAGCUCUAAAAAUUGAGGUUAAGACAGUGCAUUCCAAUGAAGGAAAUAGUUGGAAAUGAGGGUGAUGAAGCAACAUACGACAUUGUUUUCAGCAACUUGAAAAGUUUGGAACUUUGUGGUUGACCACAAAUUAGAAGUUUUUGUUCAGGCAACCACACAUUUGGGUUCCCGUCUUUAGAAAAAGUAAUUGUGAGCAAAUGUCCUGAAAUGAAGAUUUUCUGUAAGGGAGUUUUAAAUGCGCCAAUGCUGCAAAGAGUACAAGAAACAGAUGAAGAUGGUAAGGGACAUUGGGGUGGUGACCUUAACAGUACUAUCCAACAACUCUACGUCGAAAAGGUACCUAUGUAAGAAAUUAUUUAUCUAACGAAUUAAUUGUCUUUGUAAGGCUCUUUUUUGUUGCUGGAUGCUUUUGUUUGCUUAAUUUAACUUUAGGUUUUCUAUUUUUAUUUCCUUUUUGUUUGUGCGUACUUUUGAACUUAAUCUUCCUUUCUUUGAUGGAUUUUGUAGGUUGGAUACUAAGGAGUUGUGUAUGAAGUACUUUCCAAAUUUUCUAAGUCAAUAGAAAUAUGGAAGGACAAUCUUGAAGGAGUUUUAGAUUUUGUAAAUCUUAAAUAUUUGAAAAUUUACAAAUGUAAGAGCUUCAAGUCCAUUUUUACUGUUUCCAUGGUUUUGGAGCUUCAGCAAUUGAACGAGAUAAAAGUAAAAAAUUGCCAUAUGAUGGAGCAUAUUAUCACAAAUGAACAAGCAGAGGAAGCCGCAAUGAAUUUAAUGGUGUUACCCAGGCUUAAGGUUAUAAUUCUUGAGUCAUGUUCCAAUUUGAGGAGCUUUUGUUUGAGAAGUAUUACAAUGGAUGUCAGUCCAAUUGUUAAUAUUAUUAAAAAAAAUUAUUAUUUAUAUUGAUAUGAUUUUUUUACUGAUAUAGCAUUAAAUAUGAUGACUUGUUAAUAAUGAUGUGACAUUUUUUUUAUAUUUCACAUCAUUCUUUUCAAUGUUUUAAAUUAUGAAACACAGAAAUUUAAUUUUUUUUAUUCAAACAAUACUAUUUUCCUAAAUCCUAGAAACCUAUUAGUAUUUUUUAUUUGUUUCUUAUGCAAUUGUGUUUAAUAUCAUUAACUCACAUUGGAUAAUUCAAUAUCCACACUUAUAAAAUCCAUUUUAGUACUUGAUCAUGUCAUAUUGACAUUACUAUUACAUUAUUUUUAAAAUACUACAUCAGUAGUGUUAUGUCAUUAUAUUCAAUGUCACGUCUAAUAGCAAAGCUAAUAUUUUAUGUUUGGAGAGACGAAAAUAAAAAGUUCGAUGUUUAUAGAGAUAAAAUUAUAAAUUUUUUUUUAAAAUAGGGAUAAAAUUAUAAAUUUUAAAAAGUAAUAAGUAAAAAUUUUAAAAUUUUAACUGUGAGGCCCUACUAGCCCCUUCCUCUACUUCUAAUCAAAUCAAUAAAAAAAUACCAUGUCAACAUAAGCAAACGUCAUAUUAAUAUAAAUAAUAAAAAAUUUUAUCACAUUGAAUUGAUAUUGUAUUUUUAAAAAGUACAUAGAUUCAAUUUUUGAAAGUAUUAUAUAAAAAUUAAAUUAACCAUUAUAAUAUAAUAUAAAGACUAAUGUCAUAAUUUAAUAAAAAAUUUAUAUUCAGCCACCCCCAUUACACUUGCUCGAGUUUUUAAAUCUCGUGAUGCGACCGCUUUGUCGGGUAACCAGAAAAUAUCCUAUACAUCCCCACUUUCCAUUUAAUGGAUAAAGAAUAUACACUUGCCUCACAUGGGAAAUUGUGUUCCCUAAGGAUUUCUUUUUAUUGUGAAUUACACGACUUAUUAAAUUAAACAACAAUAAUAAAAAUUAUCUAAUUCUUGAAAUUAACAUAAAAGUCUCCAUCUAAGCUUGAUUCAACCUGAAAGAAAUAGUAAGCUCGGACUUAGUUAAAUUUAUAAAACUCAUAUAUAUUCACUAUUGACAUUAUAUUUUCCCUUUUGAGUUCUAAUUAACAUAUUUAAACUUUUCUGAUCUCUUUUAACUUUUUUUUUUAAAUGAGUUUUAUUUUUUCGUUACUUGUAAUAUUAUGACAAGUCUUUUAACUCAAUUGACAGAAUACUUUUGUGAGAUAGAGUACUUGGUGCCGGAAUUUAAUUGUACAUUUACAAAAGUUACACUGUGCAUCAAGCAGAGACAGCAAGCAGAAUCAGUAAAGAGUCCCAACAACGUCAACCAAAAAACAAAAGGAUCCUACAAGGAAAAGCAGCGAUAAAGCCUAUAAGAAUCAGAUCCCUCGACAAUACCCUGGAUGGGGCAAAACCUGAGAGGAGCUCCUAAAAAGUCUCAGGAGCACGGGGCUGAGACAAAGUCUCCCAUCCAAUGAGAAAUGAGCAGAAGACUGAGCAGACACGUGAAAUGCUUUCCAAUUUCCAUGUGCACUCCUUUGUAAUUAUUGGUGAGAGUGGGACAGACACCUCCACGUUUCCCCAACUUGAAUUCCAAUUGCAUCUCCUACCUAACACUUUCUUGUCUCUCUUCAUUUCUUUUCCUUUAUUCUAGUUUUUUUUUUUUUUGGGUAUUAGUUGUGAUGGCUUUGUAGGAUCUAUAUAUUUGUAUGCCACUAUAUAUUUGUCUUAUAUAAAAAAAGAAACUAUAUAUAUUUGUCUUGUCUGCCACUAUUCUUUUCUUUCUUCCGUUAAUCCAUUUUUUAAUUUAUAUUGGUAUGGCAUAGUGUUUUAAUAAUGAAAACUUAUGACAAGUCUUUCUUUAUAAUUGCCGAUUGUCAUGACUCGUGGGCUCAUGGGUAUUUACUGAAAUUUUAAGUCUUUCUUUAUAAUUGAUGAUCGGAAAAAUUUGAAACUUAAUGUGAAAUUAUGGUUAAGAAAAUGUGAGUGAAGUACAGCUCAAUUCAUCCAUUGAUUAUUGUUUGACAAGUUGCAUUAUUGUAUUAACCAUUAAUUUUGUUAGAGUGGUUAAUGACAUCUACUUUAACAAUAAGGGAGAAACCUUAAGUAUCCAUAUGAAUUUAGUCUAAUGUUACAUUGAAACUUUGGAUAUCAAUAUGAAUUUAAUCUAAUUUUAUAUUGAAACUUUAGUAAAGCUAUCUCAUUUGUAUACGUUUAAAAGAAAUAAAAAGGUGCAAGUGGCAUGAGCAAGUGACUAGCAAUAGUAUAUGUUUUAGAUGAAAAAGUUCAUUAAAGAAAAGAGAAGGCUUGCUCUGUUUAAAUCCCCACCCCCUCCCUCCUUUGGCAGAAAAAGCAAAGGUGACCAAUAUAAGAGAGGAGGUUAGACAAAUAUUAACAUUAUUCUUUCAUGGCAUUGAUUUUCACACUGACUUGGUAGAAUGAAAUUUCAGAGAAAUUACGCUGACCAUAUUUUAUUGAUACAACACGAGCUGCAAAUCUUGUACAAAGAAUAAAGAAAGCAUCAACAAUCACAUCAGUUUGGCAUGUUCAAGAGGGAGAGUGAAUUAAGCAUUAGACUUGGAAAGUUCAUUAAAUAACAUACCUUUUGAUCAACUUUCCAUAGUUGGAAAAGCAUAAUUGGAGCGAAUUUAGAAAAGUAAAAGAAUCACAUAUAUAUAUAUAUAUAUAUAUAUAUAUAUAUAGAGCUAUUCAUAAUGAUAAAUAAUUUUAUAUAAUUUGUUAAUCAAUAAAAAAAAUACUUAUAAUAAUCUUUUAAGAAAGUUGUGCUCAGUCAUAUAUAUUUUUUUAUAUUCAAAUUCAUCAAUUUUUGAUUAUGUGUUGAAAAAUAUCGAUUUCUUUAGAAUUGAAUCUUAGACGUUUUAAUUUACAUUACUCUUAUUUUUAAGUUGAAGUGUUGAGACUUAUUGGCUCAAAUGUAACAGAAUCACUUGGACGAUUUGCAUAUUUUUUUUUAAAUAAUUUAUUAAUUAUUUUCAACUUACUCAUACUUAGCCAAACUUCAAAAAAAAAUUAAUACAAUCAAUAUCUAAUAUUCUUAUGGUAUUUCUAUUUAAACUUAUAAUCCUAAAUAUAAAACUAUAAUGCAUAAAAUAUAAAAAUUAAAUAUGAUAUAUCAGAUUAAUAAUUUCCUUUUACAUAAUCAGGAUCGUUUAAAGACUAUAUAUUCAAGAUAAUUUCAUUUCAACUAAAUAUAAAACAUAAAACACAUAAAAAAAUACUCAAGAUAAACUCCUUUUAUAUAAUUAGGANAUAUAUUAAAAUUUAAAAAAUUUUAUAUGAUAUAGAAAAAAUUUUAAAAAUUUGGGGGCUGCUGUGUAAAGGAGAAUAUAUAUACUUCCACAUAGGACCAACUGGCAAAGCAUGAUUAAUUUGUACUAGUAAAUGUCUGGAGAUUGAUGAUUAGCCUUGAUCUGCCAUAAUUCAUUGAAUCACUUUGGAAUGGGGCGGCUCUGAUUUUGCCACCUUUUUCGGUCCAAUGGAAUCAUAAAGUUAGUAAUUAAAGGAGUGAAUGGAAGAGCAAGCCAAAAUAAGGAUGAGUCUUUUGGUCAAAAACCGACAACAGCUUAUUACUAUAUAAUUUUCUUCUUUCCUCUCUUCUAUAAACCAUGAUGGGCAAUGAAAACAGAUUUUAUUUGUUUAAUAAAAUCUCAUGACUUAAGGUGAGCCUUUGUUUGUACUUGAACGGCCGUGAAAAGCUGCGUGCCAGUUUCAUAAAACCCAGUCAGACACAACGUUUCUGCUCAACUCAUCCCUUUUACCUUACUUUAGCGUCCUUUGCUCUUCCAUUUCUCAAAACCCUUUUAUUUUCUUCCUUUGAUCUUCGAUUCUCUUUUCCUUUUCCUUUGUUUUUUUGGCUUGCUCCGUUGUUUCUUUCUCAUCUCUUUUCCCUUCACCUCAAGGUGUCGGCUUCUCACAUUCCUCUACUUUCCACCCAAUAAACCAGAAACCUUUCACUUUGAUUCUUAGUUGCCUCUUUCUUCAUAGCUACAGCUAAUGGAGAAAACCACCGUUUCCAAUUUCUUACCAUUCUGAUUAUUUGCCUUGCUCAUAUCGUUUAUUGAUAUAUUCGUCUUGCUGUUUUCAUUUUUGGGUCUUCUCGAUCCCCUGUUGUCUACUUCUUCUGUCAUUUGCUUUGCUUUUCUGUUGAAUUAAAAAAAUGGAACCUAUUCUUACUGGUGCUGCUGCCAACCUUUCUUCGGAAGCUGCAAAAGGCAUCUUCCAAGAUAUGAAACGUCAUAUCAGAUAUGUAAUCAUUUACAAGAAAAAUGUCGACAAGUUUGAGGAGAAACUUAAGAUGUUGAUAGCAAAAAGAGCAAGUCUGCAGCAAGAGGUUGAUGCUGCAGACAGGAACGGGGAGAAGAUAAAAGCGGACGUCCAACAUUGGAGCAACACAGUGGACAAGGUAAUCAAUGAAGAUGUGAAGAAAAUGAAGGAUCUUGAAGACAAAGCAAAGAACAAGUGCUUCAUUGGCUUGUGUCCCAAUAUCAAGUCUCGCAACCAGCUUAGCAGGAAAGCAGAAGAAGGUGUCGCGACUAUUGACGACCUUAUCCAACAGUGUCAAUUUAACGGAGUGGGAUACCGUGAUGUUCCAGAAGCUAUAUUGGACGCAUCUCCUAAAGACUUUGAGACCUUUAAAUCAAGAGAAAAGGUUUUCAACGAUAUCAUGGAGGCUAUAAAAGACGCUACUAUCAACAUGAUAGGGUUGUAUGGGUUGGCUGGUAUGGGCAAAACAUCACUAGUCAAAGAAGUUGCCAGACAAGUCCAAGAGCUUAAGUUAUUUGAUUCGGUGGUUACCGUAAUUAUGACUCAGACGCCGGACAUUCAGAACAUUCAAGAUCAAAUUGCAGAGUUGUUGGGUCUAAGACUUGAAGACAAGAGUACGGUUGUAAGAGCACAUAGAUUGUGCGAAAGGUUGAAAAAAGGGAAGAAGGUUCUUGUUGUUUUAGAUAAUGUUUGGAAGAAAUUGGACCUCGAGGAAGUUGGAAUUCCAUUUGGAAACCAACACAAGGGAUGCAAGAUAUUGUUGACAUCAAGAGAUCAAAAUGUUCUCUCCAAUGGGAUGGAUGCUGAGAAAACUUUUUCAAUUGGUGAUUUAGACGAUGAAGAAGCUUGGGACUUGUUUAGGAAGAUGGUUGGGGAUAGUGUUGAAAGUGCUGAGUUGCGAUCUACAGCAAUUGAGGUAGCCCAAAGGUGUGCAAGAUUACCGCUGGCCAUUGCAACAGUUGCAAGGGCAUUGCGAAAUAAAAGUUUAUUUGCUUGGGAGGAUGCUUUACGGCAACUACAGAGGCCUUCCUCAAGCAACUUCACUGGGAUAUCCGCUGACGUAUAUUCAGCUAUAGAGUUGAGUUACAAUCAUUUAGAAAGUGAUGAACUUAAACAAACUUUCCUACUUUGCACUCUACUGCGCCAUGAUUCAAGCAUUGAUUACUUGUUGCAAUGUGCGAUUGGUUUGGGUUUAAUUAAUGGUGUCAGCACCGUGAAGGAAGCACGGAAUAGGUUGUUAACACUGGUGAGUAACCUCAAAGCCUCUUGUUUGUUACUUGAUAAUAACCUCAAUGACCGUUACUUUGAUAUGCAUGAUCUUGUUUAUGAUGUCGCCGUGUCAAUCGCUUCUAAGGACAAUCAUGUCUUUGCAUUAAACGAGGAAGUUCUGGAAGAUUGGCCAAAUGGAGAGAAAAUGAACAAGAUUUAUUUGCGAUAUCCUAGUAUAAUUGGAGAGCUUCCUUCCGAGUUGAAUUGUCCAGAGGUUGUUCUUUUCAUUUUCUUUAGCGAAGAUCUUUCCCUCAAAAUGCCACCUAGCUUCUUUAACGAAACAAAAAAUCUUAAAGUCUUAGAUUUGAGUGAUAUGCAAUUUUCUUCUUUACCUUUGUCAACUUGUCUCUUAACAAGCCUUCGUGCAUUGUUCCUGAAUCGAUGUGAAUUGAGAGAUAUAACCAGUAUUGGAGAACUUAAGAAUUUGGAAAUUCUUAACCUUUCAUAUUCUGAUAUCAAAAUUCUACCUAAGGAUAUUGGGCGACUGGUUAAAUUAAAACUGUUAGAUUUAAGUCAUUGUACUAAACUCAAAAUAAUUUCACCAGGUGUCUUAUCAAGCUUGUCUAGAUUAGAAGAAUUAUAUAUGGGUGGCACCUUUAUUCAAUGGGAAGUAGGGGGACAUGCCAACCAACGAGGCAGUAUUGCUAGUCUUGCUGAAUUGAAUACUCUGUCUUGUUUGACCACUUUAGAAGUCCAUAUUCCUGAUGCCGAGGCCAUAUCAAGGGGCUUGCUCUUUAAAGAGUUGCACAAGUUGAUCAGAUACCAGAUUUUCAUAGGAAAGGAAUGGGAAUGGUUUGGUGAGUAUGAGCAUUCAAGGACUCUGAAACUCAAGUUAAGUACAAGUAUUGAUCAUUUGGAUCAUGGAAUUAAGUUGCUAUUGAAGAAAACUGAAGCUUUAUAUUUAGAUGACCUUAAAAGUGUCACGAUUGCAAUGCAAGAGUUCAAAGAUGAAGAAAGCUUAUCGCAUUUGAAGAAUCUCCAUAUCCAAAAUGAUUCAGUGAUCAAAUAUAUCAUUAUUGAUAAUGGUAUAGUUGAUAAAAAUGAAUUUCUUCAAUUACAAUCUUUGACACUUCAAAAUCUACCUCAGCUCAUUAGUUUUUGUUCUGAAGAUGAAAACGGCUCUACCUCCAGGGUUCAAGAUGAGUUGCCUCUAUUUAGUGAAAAGGUAUUUAUUACUUUUCAUUUUUCACUCAUUCUAAAGCAUAUGUUGAUCUCAUUUAUUAGUUUCUUAAAAUUUUCUUCUUAUGAACAGCCAACGUUCUCAAAUGUUAAAUUAGUAUUAUUUUAGAAUCUCUCUCCUUCGCUUUUUUGCUAAUUGAUCUUCAAUAUCUAUUAUGAGUAAAAACAUACAUUGAAUAUCUAUUUUAAAUUUGACACUCUACAAUCCGUUUAUAAAAAUUGUCUAGUGCUAUACUGAUCCUUUGUUAAAGUUUUAUGCAAGAGCCUAGCAUAAUUGUAAGAUGAGUGAGGGCAUAGUUAGAGAUCUUAGGUUUGAGAUUUUGUUCAUGCAGAUAAAUAAAUUUCAAUAUAUAUCUACAUUCUAAAAAAAAACUGAUGCCUUCUCCUCCAUUUAAAAAAAACAGGUUGCCACAUUGUGUGAAAGCCAUUUCCUUUUGUUUCCAUUUUUCGCUACCAUCCACGAUUGAUAAACCGAACCAUGUCAUAGUGCCCAUUUCAAAGCCUGAACAUCAACAAAACCCACUUCAGUGAUUGUUUAAUACAUUAGAAAUCACUUCUCCGUAAAAUGGAAGUAAUUAUUUCUCCUGAACUCAGUUGCCAUUGAAUUGGCAAACCCAUUCCUUCCUUUUUAAUCAUAGAAUGUUAUGUAAUUAUGCUAAAUAAGCUAGUCUUUCUUCUGUUGUCUUUUUCUUUUUUUUUUUUCACACAAUUUUUAAUCUAGAUUAAUUACUUGUCUGCAGUCGUUGUUCCCUUGCUUGGAGAAUUUGCGGUUGUCCUCAAUUAGUGUUGAAAGGAUAUGGCAUGAUUCUUUCUGCAAUCAUGAGAAUUUGACAAGUUUGAUCAUCGAGAAUUGUGGCAACUUAAAACGUUUAUUAUCAUUUUCUAUGUCUAGGAAGCUAGUGCAUCUCAAAUGCUUUGAGAUAAUUGGAUGCAAGUGCCUAAGAGAGAUAAUUUUUGCAGAGGAUAUAGAGGAAGAAAGCAAAGAUACGAUUUUAUUUCCUCAAUUAAACUCUCUAAAGUUACAAGAUCUUCAGCAUCUCAUUGGAUUUUUGUUAGAACGUCGGAAUAUUGAAUUUCCGUCCUUGAAGUCACUAAAGAUAGAGAAAUGCCCAGAACUAAAGGGGUUCAUAUACGAAUCUACAAUGGAAGGGAGCCAAAAUUUUUCUAGUCAAGUUCUCUUUGACGAAAAGGUAGAGUAUUGUUAGCAUUCUUUAUUAUCCAUGUUUUCCCAUUGCCAUGCUUUUGGCCUUGAUUAUAGGAACAAAUGCUUCUAAACAUUUCAUUAAUUGGCAUGAAUUAAUUACAUACAGGUUGCAUUUCUUAGUUUGGAGAAAAUUUCUAUUUCCAAAUUGAGAAACAUGAAGAUGAUAUGGAAGAACCAACUCGCUGCGAAUUCCUUUCACAAACUACAGGAAAUGGAAGUUGAAGAAUGUGACCAGCUACUGACCAUUUUUCCAUCUAAUAUGUUGAGAGCAUUUCAAGGACUGCAAACUCUAACAGUUCAUAAAUGUGUUUCGGUAGAAGAAGUAUUUGAAGUCGGAAGCUCAAAUAUGGAAGAAACAGGUGCUGUCACCAGUCAACUAAGAGAGUUGCAUAUUUGGCAUCUACCAAGCCUCAAGAAUAUUUGGAAGAAUGAUCCCAAAGGAAUUUUUACAUUUGAAAAUCUGCGGGUAAUAAGUGUUUGGGAUUGUUGCAGUCUGAAGAAUGUAUUUCCAGCCUCAGUAGCCAGAGUUCUUCCACAACUUAGAGAUCUUCACAUAAAUGAUUGCGGAGUGGAAGAAAUUGUUUCCAAGGAGGAAGGAUUGGAAACAACUGUCACUUUCAGGUUUGAUCAAGUAUGCUACCUUCGUCUUUGGCAGCUACCAGAACUCAAAUGCUUUUACCCGGAGGUACAUACGACAAAGUGGCCAAUGUUAAAAAAGUUAAAAGUAUUUGGCUGUGACAAAAUGAAGAUAUUUGGUACAGAACGUCUCAGCAUCUCAGAUAUGGCUAAAGUCGAUGGACAACUUGAGUCCACUUUAAUCCAACCACCGCUUUUGUUGGCUGAAAAGGUAUGCAUGUGCCUCCACCUCCACUCUUUCUCAACUGAUUAAGAUGCUAACGUGUACGUGAAAAUCAAUUUAACAGGCCCUUGUAAUGUACUAGCUAUAUUUCCAACUUUUUAUUAACAAACUAGAGUGCCAAAAAUAAACAUCAUUUUAAUCAAAUGUGAUCUUACAAAAAAUCAUUAAAUACAACAAAAUCAAAUUUUUAUUAUUGUUAUUAUUUUUAUAGGAAAUUGCAUAUGUCAAUGACUAGCUAGUUGAAUUUAUAUAAAUUAAGUGGUAUGUAAUACUUUAAAAAAAAAAAAUCACUUCCAUGUUUUGAUUUCACUCACAAAUACAGACGAUAACUUCAAAUUUGCUAGUUUCAAAGAGAAAAAGCAAAAAAAUAGUGUUACAUUAAACAUUUAGUCACUUAAUGUUUCAAAAAUUUCUAUUUAGUCGUUCAACUUUAAAAAAUUCUUAUUUUGAUCACUUAAUUGUCUGAAAAAUGUUAGUCAAUCAUUACCUUUUUUAAAGACAAAAGUCAACCAUUGGCUUCUAACAAUUGAAUGGUAAACAUUAACUUUUACAAAUUUGAUAACCAAAUUGUGAUUAUUCAAAAUUAAAUGACCAAAAUAAAAUUUUAUGAAAAGUUAAGUGACUAAAUGCGUAAUAAAAAAUGGAGUAUAUAUACCUUGUUUGAGUAUAAAUAAAAAGAAGUAUUCCAAAGUUUCAAAUGUAAUCUGAGUGUAUCAAGACUUGCGCAAUAAUUUUUAUUAGUACAAUAAUUUUUGCAUUGUUGAAAGAAGAACAUUGACUCCAAAACUGUUACUUUAUUGGUUUUCAGGUCAUCCCUCAAUUAGAAAAAUUGUCAUUAAAUAUUGAUGACAUUAAUGCAAUGAUAAGUGAUAGUCAAUUUUCAAGAAGCCUUUUUCGUGAAAUAAAAGUUCUUAGGGUGUGCAACUCUGGUGAUGAAUCUGUUGUUUUCCCAAUUACUUUCCUAGAAAGAUUUCAAAAUCUAGAAAAGCUUGUGGUGAUUUCUUAUGAAUUCAAAGAGCUGUUCUGCGAUGAAAGAGAUAGUGGUAUGGAGACAUAUGCUGGGACACUGCCCACGAUCAGAAGCCUAAAAUUGAUUUGUCUUGAUAAUCUCAAACAUUUAUGGAAGCAGGACGUACAAGUAGACCGCAUUCUCCCUAAUCUGGAAACUCUUCAAGUCCACCAGUGUGACGAACUUAUUAGUUUAGGAUCAUCCUCAGCAUCGUUUCAAAAUCUCUUGACGUUGGAUGUGUGUAGCUGUGGCGCAAUGAUAUGCUUAGUUACAUCUUUAGCAGUCCAAAGUCUGGCGCAACUCAAAAAAUUGAGGAUAAGACAGUGCAUUUCCAUGAAGGAAAUAGUUGGAAAUGAGGGUGAUGAAGCAACAUACAACAUUAAUUUCAGCAAGUUGAAAAGUUUGGAACUCUGUGAUUUACCACAAAUUACAAGCUUUUGUUCAGGCAACCAUACAUUUGGGUUCCCAUCUUUAGAAGAAGUAAUUAUGAACAAAUGUCCCGAAAUGGAGAUUUUCUGUAAGGGAGUUUUAAAUGCGCCAAUGCUGGAAAGAGUACAAGUAACAGACAAAGAUGGUAAGGGACACUGGGGUGGUGACCUUAACAGCACUGUCCAACAAUUGUACGCCGAAAAGGUACUUGCUCAUUUUAAUUUAUCUAACCAAUUAGUUGUCUUUGUAAGGCUUUUUUUGUUUGUGGAUGCUUUUGUUUGCUUAAUUUGACUUAGGGUUUCUAUUUUUUUUUUUUUCGUUUUUGUGGUUACCCAUGAACUUAAUCGUUCCUUUUUUGUUGGAUUUUGUAGGUUGGAUACAAAGGAGUGGAGUAUGUAGUACUCUCCGAGUUUUCUAAGUCAACAGAAAUAUGGAAAGAGAAUCCUGAAGGAGUUUUCAAUUUCGUAAAUCUUACAUAUUUGGAAGUUUACAAGUGUAAGAGCUUGAAGUACAUAUUUACUGUUUCUAUGGCUUUGGAUCUUCUGCAAUUGAAGGAGAUAAAAGUAAGAAAUUGCCCUAUGAUGGAGCAAAUAAUCACAAGAGAAGGAGCAGAGGAAGCAUCAAUCGUGUUGCCCAGGCUUCAGUCUAUAACUCUUAGGUCAUGUUCCAACCUGAGGAGCUUUUCUUUGGGAAGUAUUACAAUGGAAUGUCCAUCUUUGCAAUGUAUCGAUGCAGUUAAUUGUUCAAAAUUGUUAGCAUUGGCAUCUACAUUUGUAGGAGAGAAGGAUACAGAGACAGUCGCAGCCUUUUUCAAUGAUAAGGUUAGUCUCUGCAUGGUUUCUUCACAUUUAAAACGUUUUUCUUUCCGAAGUUUAACUUGUUUAUUUUGUCUGCUAAUAAUAGGCAAAUUUAAAUUCCAUUAUAAGAAUCAAAGUAAAGUUUUUGAUGCAAUAAGGAUUAUGUAUGUAGGUUGUGUGUCCAAAUUUGGAGAUUGUGCGACUAUCCUCAAUUGACGUUCAGAGAAUAUGGGAUGACCAACUUCCUGAAAUGUCUUCUUAUGUUCAAAAUUUAAAACAAUUGACUGUCAGGGGCUGUAGAAAUCUAGAAGAAGUUAUCUUUAUAGAAGGAUUACCAGAAGAUGGCAUGUUGAGCCAAAUAUUCCCUAAACUAGAAAUUUUGCAAUUCAUAGGCCUUCCCAAACUCGCAAGAUUCUGCCAUGGAAGUUACUUUGAAUUCCCCUUGUUAAGACAGCUUAUAAUGAAGAACUGUCCUGCAUUGAAGACAUUCAUCUCCGAUUCUACGGUGACAAACGAAACUCUUAUUUGUCAAAAAGCGAAAGGAAACAACUCAGAUAUUGAUUCCCCUCCUCUCUUUAGUGAAAAGGUGAUUACUCCAUUUGUCUUUUCUUUAUCACUCUUCUUUUCUUUUUUUUUUAUGUAUCCUCAAGUUUUAAAUGUUUGAUUCCCCUUUCCUUUGUUACAUUUUUUCCUUGUUAUUUAGUUGUUGAACAUGAAGAUCUAUGAUCUGCAAUAUUAUUGACACAAUCAAUAAAUUUAGCAGGUGGCUUUCCCUCAAUUAAAGAAAUUGGGAAUCGUAGGGAUGGCAAACUGCAGAAAGAUAUGGCCUGAUCAACUCGUUGGUUAUUCAUUUUGCAAGCUAAAUGAUUUGUGGGUGUACGAAUGCAAUCGACUGUUGAGCAUUUUUCCACUUAAUAUGAGGGCAAGACUCCAGAAUCUAGAGGAGUUCCGAAUAAGAGAAUGUGAUUCAUUAGAAGAAAUAUUUGAACAUGAAGUGCUCAAUACCAACGACUUACAUUCAGUGACUGCCACUCAAUCCAUUGCGGAAGAAACAACCACCAAUUUUGUAUUUCCUAAACUAACAUACUUGGAACUUUAUAUGCUGCCCAGAUUGAGGAGUUUCUGCUCUACGAUACAUACUACGGAGUGGCCAUCAUUAAAGGAAAUGUGGAUAUAUGGAUGUGACAAAGUGGAGAUAUUUGCUUCAGAAAAUAUUCGGAGCUUUGGAGAAUCAACAAAUCAACAAGCCCUGUUUUGGGUAAAUGAGGUAUUUGAACACAAAACUAUGUUAAACUUUUAAACAUUUGGUAUGCUCUUGAUUUUCAAUGUUGAGUCAAAACUCAAUCAAAUCCAGAUGGAUUUGCUUUUUUUUUUUUUUCUUAUAAUUCUCACAAGCAUGUCUCAGUAUUGCUCCAAUAUUGUAGCUUGCACAUAAGAUUUAUGUUAAAAUAACUAUAUUCACUCAAUUAAGGUGUUCUCGUCUUGCUUAACUCAUAUAGAUGCAUCAUAUGGCACUUUUAGAUUAGGUUUUAAGGAGUGUUUCGAAAAAGAUAAAUUAGAUGAGACAAAUUCAUGUACAUAAAAAUUUGGUAUUAGGCAAUUUGUCAGAAAGAAUUUUUCUAUACAAUGAUAUUCAGAAAACUCAAGCAAUAUAACAUUUGAAUUGUGUCUCCAUCAUUCUUAUGUUGCAUUCCCACCAUAACAUACACAGUGUGUCUCACUGUUGGCUUCAAGAGCUUAGUUUGUAGAAUAAAUGAAACAUUGACAUCUUUAACUUUAGUCUAACACAUUUGUUAAUUUCCAGGUUACAUUUCCCAAUCUGGAAGAAUUAAAAUUGGAGUGGAAUGACAUUAUGAAAGAGAUAUGGCAUGGACAACUUAGAGCAAACUUUUUCUACAAACUAAAAGUUCUUGAGCUCAUUCACUUUCCUGAUCAAUCAGCUGUUUUCCCACAUUGUUUUAUUCAGUCAUUACCAAAUUUAGAAAAGCUUGCUGUUAGUGAAGCUUCCUUUAGUCAUAUAUUCCAUUUUGAAGGAUUUGAUGGUCAGAAAAAUCAUGCAUCGGCAAUCACUUCGUUGAAUGAAUUGGUGCUGUCUGAACUUCCUGAGCUAACACAUCUUUGGAAGGAAGAAUACCACCCCAUACCAGCUUUCUGUGAACUGAGAACUCUUCAAGUGCGGGAUUGUGGCAAAUUAAAGAUUUUAGCGCCAUCAUCAGUGUCUUUUGAAAAUUUAACAACUUUGGAAGUUUCAAGAUGUCAUGGAUAUGUGAAUUUGAUAGCAUGCUCAACAGCUAAGAGCCUAGUGCAACUCUCAAGAAUGACCAUAACUGAUUGUGAGAUGAUAGAGAAAAUCAUAGCAUGUGAGUCUGAGGAAGUGAAAGGAGACAUUGUUUUUACUGAACUGAAGUAUUUGCAACUAAGUUGUCUACCAAAUAUGGCUAGCUUCUGCUUAGGGGAUCACAACUUGGAAUUCCCUAUCUUGGAGAAAAUGAUUGUGAGAAAAUGCCCAAAGAUGAAGAUUUUCUGCCAAGGAGAUUUAAGCACACCACAACUCCAAAAAGUGAUAUUGACAGAAGAUGGAGAUGAAGAAAAUGGGCAGUGGGAAGGCGAUCUUAAAACUACUAUAAAACGGAUGUUUGAAGAAGAGGUAAGUAUCAAUUUAAAAGUUAUUCUUAUGUUGCUUUGGUUUCUUAUUUUGAUUUUUCAGUAGCAUGCGUUAGCUUUUCCUUGUCACCCCAUACUUAUUAAAAGGUUGCUCAAAUGAGGAAACCAUACUAAUAUGUAAAGUAAAGCUGUUGCAGAAUUAAUUAGUUCAUUAAUUUAGCAUAGAGCUUCUAACUAUUUUCCUUUUUAUAAUGAAAAUUUACUAUAAAACUGUAGUUUUGGUGCUUUUCAUUAAUUUAAGGAACUCUUGAUUAAUUUUUAUGAUUACAGAAUGUCGAAAAUUCUGAAAACCACUAAGUUUACCUUUUAGUUGCUCAAGUUGAAGAGGGAAAUAUUGUUUUUGUACUUGUGAGAGGCUACAUGUUCCUUGGAUUGAAGUGAGAUGGUAAGUAGAUCUUCUACUUCCAUAAUCUCCAUUUUUCUACUUUAUUUCCUUCACCACACCUGACUGCUUUGUUUUUGUCUCCUUCAAUUUUGGAUUGCCAAUUAAUUAAUUUUUUUAUUAAUUAAUUUGCAGAAGAAAUAACAGGGAACUGGUUUGUUUAAAAGUGCUUGAUCUAUAUACCCUUAUCAAUUUAUUAAUUUAUGAAAUUAAAAAAUUAUCACUUAUUUUUUAUUAUCAAUUAAAUUAUUUAGUAGGAUUUGUAACAUUGAAAAUGUGAAAUUGCAAUUAGU